AGUGAACGCUGGCGGUAGGCCUAACACAUGCAAGUCGAACGGCAGCACAGUAAGAGCUUGCUCUUACGGGUGGCGAGUGGCGGACGGGUGAGGAAUACAUCGGAAUCUACUUUUUCGUGGGGGAUAACGUAGGGAAACUUACGCUAAUACCGCAUACGACCUACGGGUGAAAGCAGGGGAUCUUCGGACCUUGCGCGAUUGAAUGAGCCGAUGUCGGAUUAACUAGUUGGCGGGGUAAAGGCCCACCAAGGCGACGAUCCGUAGCUGGUCUGAGAGGAUGAUCAGCCACACUGGAACUGAGACACGGUCCAGACUCCUACGGGAGGCAGCAGUGGGGAAUAUUGGACAAUGGGCGCAAGCCUGAUCCAGCAAUGCCGCGUGGGUGAAGAAGGCCUUCGGGUUGUAAAGCCCUUUUGUUGGGAAAGAAAAGCAGCAGGUUAAUACCCCGCUGUUCUGACGGUACCCAAAGAAUAAGCACCGGCUAACUUCGUG
This 492-nucleotide ribosomal RNA is filed under the name uncultured bacterium. Its description in RNAcentral is "partial 16S ribosomal RNA". It matches the Rfam family "Bacterial small subunit ribosomal RNA", at positions 29 to 507 of the family's 1533-position model. The record is from RNAcentral.